This 430-nucleotide ribosomal RNA is filed under the name uncultured bacterium. RNAcentral describes it as "bacterial SSU rRNA". It matches the Rfam family "Bacterial small subunit ribosomal RNA", at positions 355 to 776 of the family's 1533-position model. The record is from RNAcentral.
UGAGGAAUAUUGCGCAAUGGAGGCAACUCUGACGCAGCAACGCCGCGUGGGUGAAGAAGGCUUUCGGGUUGUAAAGCCCUGUCAGGUGGGAAGAAACCUCCCUGGGUGAAUAGUUCAGGGAACUGACGGUACCACCAAAGGAAGCACCGGCUAACUCCGUGCCAGCAGCCGCGGUAAGACGGAGGGUGCAAGCGUUGUUCGGAAUCACUGGGCGUAAAGCGCGUGUAGGCGGUUCGAUUAGUCGAGUGUGAAAGCCCGAGGCUCAACUUCGGAAGCGCAUUCGAAACUGUCGGGCUUGAGUACGGGAGAGGGAAGUGGAAUUCCUGGUGUAGAGGUGAAAUUCGUAGAUAUCAGGAGGAACACCGGUGGCGAAGGCGGCUUCCUGGACCGAUACUGACGCUGAGACGCGAAAGCGUGGGGAGCAAACAGG